UGGGCCUAGGGCAGUGGGCGACUGCCAUCCACCACCCUGUCUAGACCCCGCCUGGCGGGCAGCUCUGCUGGGGAAGCCUGGGGCCCCUGUGCGUGGUGGGGGUUUCAGCUCCCGCUUCCCGAGUCGUGACUCACCGAGGAUCGGGGCUGAGUGCGGUUUUAUUUCAUAGCAAUGGGGCUUUUUCUUCCCUCCGGGAGCUAAAAAGUUGCUAUAAUUCUGCCAGCAUGUCUCACCAUUUCUCCUGUGCUGGAAUAAAGGGGAAACACUUUUUUGGUUUCAGAAAGGGCUAUUAGCUGUCAGGAAGCAAUCUUUCCCUGACUGGAGGUUCUUUUUGCCGGGUUCCUGAGUCCCCUGUUCUGCUGCCUGGCUGCGAGCCCCCAGCCAGCGAGCGGCACCGUGCGGCUCGGCUGGCCUCCCGGCGGGUGAUGGAUGGUCUGCCCGGAGCUUUGGGGAGCACCGACACCCAGCCCAGCGGGCCAGGCGCCGUGGUCCCUGCUCACCAGCGGGUCUUCGCCCCGGGCUCUUGCGCCUCUGGCAGUGUGAAGUGAGCAAAGCGUCUCUGAAGCUCGAGCGUGGGGCAGGCAGGCUGCUCGGCUUCUCUGAGCCUUGGUCUCCUAAUCUGAGUCACAGGUGGUACCUGGGGUGGUUGUGAGAACAAAAUGACAUGCAUCACAUUUGGUCUGAUUAAUAUUAAUGAGUACUAUUAAUAUGAAUGCUCACUAGACCAUGGCCCAUCCAGGCAAAGCCCUGACGGAGCUGAAUUCCAGGAUCGUUUCCGAAGCUUGGCAGCAGCUGGCAAAGAGGUCCUUACCUAAUUGUAUCCGCAAAUACUCUGU
Molecule: long non-coding RNA, 836 nt
Filed under: Homo sapiens (human)
Lineage: Eukaryota; Metazoa; Chordata; Mammalia; Primates; Hominidae
Description: HSALNT0156631
Source: RNAcentral